RNAcentral lists this transfer RNA (81 nucleotides) under Microbacterium esteraromaticum. It matches the Rfam family "tRNA". Rfam says of the family: Transfer RNA (tRNA) molecules are approximately 80 nucleotides in length. Their secondary structure includes four short double-helical elements and three loops (D, anti-codon, and T loops). Further hydrogen bonds mediate the characteristic L-shaped molecular structure. tRNAs have two regions of fundamental functional importance: the anti-codon, which is responsible for specific mRNA codon recognition, and the 3' end, to which the tRNAs corresponding amino acid is attached (by aminoacyl-tRNA synthetases). tRNAs cope with the degeneracy of the genetic code in two manners: having more than one tRNA (with a specific anti-codon) for a particular amino acid; and 'wobble' base-pairing, i.e. permitting non-standard base-pairing at the 3rd anti-codon position. Lineage: Bacteria; Bacillati; Actinomycetota; Actinomycetes; Micrococcales; Microbacteriaceae. The record is from Rfam by way of RNAcentral.
GGCAAGUUGCCCGAGUGGCCAAAGGGAGCUGACUGUAAAUCAGCCGCGAGAGCUUCACAGGUUCGAAUCCUGUACUUGCCA